This 402-nucleotide long non-coding RNA is filed under the name Salvia miltiorrhiza (redroot sage). RNAcentral describes it as "long non-coding RNA (SMIL_LNC000081)". The record is from RNAcentral. Lineage: Eukaryota; Viridiplantae; Streptophyta; Magnoliopsida; Lamiales; Lamiaceae.
AGGAUGCCUUUUUAAAAAAAAAUAUAAAUUAAUAGUAAUAAAUAAAGAAAUUUAAAGGCUACCCCACAUGCGUUUCAAAUCCAAAACCUUUGAUUUUAAGUAUUAACCCAUUACCGAUUGACCAACACACACAUAACAACAAUACUUUUUUUUUUUUUUUUUUUUUUAAGGAAACAACGAUACUUUUUUUUUUGAUGAAAUUUCUAAAUAAAUAAUACAAACCACUCACACACCCCACCUAUGGUGGUUAAUUGUGGUCGAGAGUAUUCGAACCUGUGACCUCUUGGACAACAGGCAACCACCCCAACCACUAGGCCAUCCCAAGGGGACGAAAUAACGAUUCUUGUAUUUUAGUCAGCUUGCUUUGCAUUCUGUACCAGUACUGCCUAACUUUUGAACACC